RNAcentral lists this long non-coding RNA (948 nucleotides) under Gossypium barbadense (sea-island cotton). RNAcentral describes it as "long non-coding RNA (GBAR_LNC015428)". Lineage: Eukaryota; Viridiplantae; Streptophyta; Magnoliopsida; Malvales; Malvaceae. The record is from RNAcentral.
AAAUAUUUUUACCCAAAUUAUCUUAUUUGUUUAUAAUUUGCUUGUAGCAUACACUGUAAUUGAUAAGAUAGCAAGUAUAAUGCAUGAAUAAAAUAAAAAUAUUAUCAUAAUACUCCUGUCUUAAAGCAAGACAGUCUUCACAAAAUAAAGUAUCGUAGGUAGGCAUUUAAUUUAAAAUUAUUUAAUUGAGUUAGAGUGAAAGGAAGGGCUUACGAUGGAGUAUAAAUGAUGUAUUGAGAGGAGGGAGAAGGGUGAAGAGCCAUUAGGAAUAAGCUCGAAAUUGCAGUGGCCCAUAUUGUUCAUAAAGUCCAGGUAAGUGACGUAGGCAGCUAAGGCAAUAACGGAGACGGUACCAGUUAGCACCGUUGUCAAGAUGGGUAUUGAAAAAGGAGGAAGUAUGCUAUGGCUCUGCAAAUGGAUGAAUCACAGCUGCCACAGCCACAGAUGGUUCAGUACCAUAACCAUGUGGAUUGAUGAUUAAAUUACGUACGUAGGUGAUGAAGUCUUACAAGUCGAGAGUAAAGAUAAUGGUGAUGCAGUGCUCUAUGAAGCCAGUAGUAAAGGAACUCCACAGGGCCGGCAUGGAGCAACAUGGUUAUAAUCACACCAUCCAAUCUCCAAAAGGGUAAGUGUGAACCUCCUGGAACGUAGAUGUUGCCCAAGUAAAACAGGAUUGCGUUGAACAUUAUUUGAUCAUCCCUGCAUGCAGCCAUUAAUUAAUUAAUUGUCGUCAUUGGGUAAUUAAAAAAAAAAAAGAUUUUUUGUUGCUCAUAAAAUAAAAAUAUUAUCAUAAUACUCCUGUUCUUAAAGCAAGACAGUCUUCACAAAAUAAAGUAUCGUAGGUAGGCAUUUAAUUUAAAAUUAUUUAAUUGAGUUAGAGUGAAAGGAAGGGCUUACGAUGGAGUAUAAAUGAUGUACUUGAGAGGAGGGAGAAGGGUGAAGAGCCAG